UAUAUAUAAGUAUUUCAUAAUUAAUGAUCUACUUAAUAAAAUUAGGGAUGCACCGGUUUACCGUCCAUAAAUCGGAACUGGACGGUUUUUGCUUAAAAUACGCGAUCGGCAAUCGGCCGGUUUUUGGUAUUUUUUCGGCUGAUGAGCAGGAAGCGAACAGUCGUUAUUGUACUGACGCACAAAUAAGAGUCCCUUUCCUGCGCGAGUGUACUGUACAUGUCCCUGCACAAGCGGAGACCGUGAAGGGACGUUCAGCUCAACUUCUCGCGUGUUGGAUGAGAAACGAAUCAGACUAAACCAGAGGUGGGACUUUCAUGUCACAAGCAAGUCUUCAAGUUAUAUCUCAAGUCCUCAAAGGGUUAAAGUUAAUGAGAUAAUUAAGUGACUUAUUAAAUGAUGAUUGUACAUUAGUGAUGAACAUAUGCUGGUAACAGUCAACAUCACUGAAGUAAAGAGAAACACAAGAACUACAAUUGAAAAACAACAACAACAACAACACACACACACAAAAAAAAACAAAAAAAAACACUAUGUCACCCUAAUUGUGGUCAAGGUUUGCUUUAAGUAGUCUUUUGACCCUUUUUACUAACUCAAAGGAAUUUGAUUAAAAAAAAUGCAAUAUUGUUUUCGCAACAGUUAUGUAUGCGUUGCUGAAUCAAACCUUGCAGUAACAGAUAAUCUUCUGCUAUUUUGCUUAUGAGUCAUGAUUAAACAUCAUGAAGUAGUCUUUAUCUUUGGAUUGUUGACUGACACUCAGCGAUUUCUGAACACCACAGCAAUGCUUCAACGUUGAAAGACAAAAAAAGAGGAAAUUGUCAGUUCAGGCUUUAAGACAUGCACACUUAUCACACGAUCCUCAACAGUGGUGACAAUUUUUCAUACUGCAGUGCAUGAUGGGAGUUUUUACAAUGGUGUUACCCAGCAUGCAACAUUUUGUUGAUUGUCACCACUGUUGAGAGUCAUAUGCUGGUUCUUAAUCUCUAUGUGUGUCUCCAGAGUAGUGGAGCUCAAUUUUGGUAUUCACUUAUAGACUUAUAAUUCACUAGCUAUAAUUGUUUUACAUGUCGUAGUUCUGCUUGGUUGAUUAUGCAAAACUCAAAUAAAAGAAAUGUUAAUAUUUCUGUAAUCAGACCAGGUCACGAUUACUAGCUUAUCACAUACAGACAGAUAAUAUCUUCUCUCUGCUUUACAGCACCAUAUAUAUGUAUGUUGUUUUGGAACCACAUACCUCGAGUAAGUAAGGUUUGGGGUUAAUCAACCAAGAGUUCAGGGUUUAGUUCAUGGUAAGUUAAUCCUGCUUCCUGGAAUCCACCCCCCCCCCCCCCCAUGUUAUGCAAAGAUUUGGUUUAAAAAACAGUAUCCAGAGGUGGGACUUUCAAGUCACAAGCAAGUCUUCAAGUCAUAUCCCAAGUCCUCAAAGGGUUAAAGUUAAUGAGAUAAUUAAGGGAAUAAUUAAAUGAUCACUAAAACUGCAAUUCAUAGACUGGCCGCUUGAGACUGGUUCCAAAAGGGAGUCAGUCCCAUAGUCUCUCCACGUUAAAAUGGCCAACUUUACAGCAGAAAAAAAAGAAAGCUAAUAUUGCCCUUCAUGACAACUGUGUGGUAGGGCUGUCAAAAUUGCUCAAAAAUUAUGUUUGAAUAUUCCCUCUAAAAAAAAACAUCUGGUCGCGCAUGUUGUCAAUGACGCACAUUAAGUCAAUAACAGGACAAAAUAAUACAAAGAGACAUAACUACUUGUAUAGGUAGUCUACAAAAACAAGGAAAUCAACCAAUGGCCAAGACUGCAGACCUCACGCUCUCUCACCCUCACGUUCUCUGUGCAUAACGGUUUAAAUGAACAAAUAAAUUUUGAGUGCUGAUCAAGAGUUUUGUUUUGGGCUCUGCACUUGCUGCCAUUUUCCAUGAAGAUGCAUCAACUUUCAGCAGUGAUUCUGUGCCAGACAGUGCGACUCCUGUGACCUGUCCCUCAACCCUCAGGCGCGCUAGCGCGCCCACUCGCAGAGUAGCCAACCACGCCUCUACUACCGCAAGCGAUUUUUUCCACAUUUUUUUUAUUCGAAUAUUAAUUUCCACCUUCGAAAUUAGUUUUUUUUUUUUACGUAUUUGAAUAUAUAUUCAAAUUUAGAAUAUUCGUUGACAGAAUGAAUGUUUAUAACAUCCAUUUAUUAUAAUAUUAUAUAUUAUAAUAUAUAAUAUUAUAUUAAGCCUUAAAGUUCUGCAUAAUUAAGGGCGUGGCCACAUUGAGUGACAGGUUGAUUGACGGUGCUGUCACCACAGUCGAGCUAGGUGGGCGUAUUUUCUGCAACAAGCUCUUGCCGUUUUGCCCUUUUUCGAUUAUCUGGGAGAAAACGUAGUUCACCUACGGUUGACGUCACGAACACAACGACCAUGUUUUUAUACAGUCUAUUGUCAUAACCCCCUCACACAAGCACUUCUCAAUGCGGAUGUCUGUUCUUGCUACAGUCUCAUUUUAUAAUGUGAAACAACUGUCCUGAUAGCACAUUUACUUAGGUGUAAUGAAUGGCAUGUGUUUAUAACUCUCUUGAAAUGUGGCUGACAUUUGGGACAUCAUGAUGAAAUUGUCUCCUGUUCUGUGCUGUAGGCUCUGAUGAGGAUGCUGAGGGGAAAGUGAGACCAUUCCUGGCUCGUCCCGGUUGCAGAGAAUCUUUAGGAUUGGUGAAAGGCAAGUCGUACCUCAUCAUGGGGAGAUCUGUUGACCUGCCAGAGCUGGGAGGAAGUCUGCAGUAUGUUUUUGGAGAGCAGACCUGGGUUGAAUACUGGCCUACAAGAGAAGAAAGCCAAACUCCACAACACCGGGAGCGAUACAUCGGCAUCACUGACCUCCAGAACAGCCUUCUCAGAUAUAGUUGUACUUUAUAAAUAUAGUAUAAUAACAUUUCUUUAUUAUAGGAAAUGUAACAUUAUAUUUUGCACACUCUAAAUAAAUUGUUCUUGAUGAUAUGUAUGAAUUUCACCAAAAUAUGCUGGUAUAAUUCCAUAAUAAAACUUGAACAUCUUCA
Long non-coding RNA from Carassius gibelio (silver crucian carp), 3020 nucleotides. RefSeq lists it as uncharacterized. NCBI's taxonomy places the organism in Eukaryota, Metazoa, Chordata, Actinopteri, Cypriniformes, Cyprinidae. The record is from RefSeq and is a predicted model, not a curated record. The transcript has 2 exons.